GUCUUUUUGUUUAUAAUAUAAAGUCUAACCUGCCCACUGAUAAUUUAUUAAAUGGCCGCGGUAUAUUGACUGUGCAAAGGUAGCAUAAUCAUUUGUCUCUUAAUUAGAGGCUGGAAUGAAUGGUUGAAUGAAAUAUUAACUGUCUCAAUUUUAAAAAAAUAAAAAUUUAGCUUUUAAGUUAAAAGGCUUAAAUUUAUUUAAAGGACGAGAAGACCCUAUAGAUCUUUAUAAUUAAAUUAUAUUAUAAUUUAGAAAAAUAUUUAAUAAAAUAAUAAAAAUUAUUUUAUUGGGGUGAUAGGAAAAUUAAAAUAACUUUUUUUAAAAUAUUAACAUUAAUUUAUGAUUAAUUGAUCCAUUAUUAAUGAUUAAAAGAUUAAGUUACCUUAGGGAUAACAGCGUAAUUUUUUUGAAGAGUUCAUAUCGAUAAAAAAGAUUGCGACCUCGAUGUUGAAUUAAAGUAAUUUUUAGAUGUAGCAGUUUAAAAUUUGGGUCUGUUCGACCUUUAAAUCUUU
RNAcentral lists this ribosomal RNA (512 nucleotides) under Leucochrysa cruentata. Its description in RNAcentral is "partial 16S ribosomal RNA". The stretch from base 389 to 512 matches the Rfam family "Bacterial large subunit ribosomal RNA", at positions 2473 to 2597 of the family's 2925-position model. Lineage: Eukaryota; Metazoa; Arthropoda; Insecta; Neuroptera; Chrysopidae. The record is from RNAcentral.